UUCGGGAACCUAGUAAAGUGGCGGACGGGUGAGUAAUGCAUGGACAACUUACCCCCGAGACGGGGACAACCACUCGAAAGGGUGGCUACUACCCGAUACUUCCUGGAGUCGUUGGAUUCCAGGUGAAAGAUUGCCUCUGUUUCAAGCUUUCACUCGGGGAGAGGUUUAUGUCCUAUUAGUUUGUUGGUGAGGUAACGGCUCACCAAGACGACGAUGGGUAGCCGGCCUGAGAGGGUGACCGGUCACACUGGGACUGAGACACUGCCCACACUCCUACGGGAGGCUGCAGUCGAGAAUCUUCCGCAAUGCGCGCAAGCGUGACGGAGCGACGCCGCGUGGGUGAUGAAGGCCUUCGGGUUGUAAAACCCUGUUACCUACUAUGAAUAUUCGGUGGUGAAUACCCAGCCGAGCUGACGUAAGUAGGAGAGGAAGCACCGGCUAAAUACGUGCCAGCAGCCGCGGUAAUACGUAUGGUGCGAACGUUAUUCGGAAUUA
This 495-nucleotide ribosomal RNA is filed under the name uncultured bacterium. RNAcentral's name for it is "bacterial SSU rRNA". It matches the Rfam family "Bacterial small subunit ribosomal RNA", at positions 77 to 553 of the family's 1533-position model. The record is from RNAcentral.